Molecule: long non-coding RNA, 705 nt
Organism: Polyodon spathula (Mississippi paddlefish)
Lineage: Eukaryota; Metazoa; Chordata; Actinopteri; Acipenseriformes; Polyodontidae
Exons: 3
Source: RefSeq, a predicted model, not a curated record
AACGAGGCUUUACGCACCAAUCCGACUGCAGUGUCAGGGGACAGUACCUCAGUUUCCCACAGACGCUUAAAAUUCAGAACGCUGUUCCUCAUCUACUGUUAUGUGUCUAUUCUUGCUGGUGCCCUUAUCCUCCCUGCCAAGACACGCAUGCAAAUGAAGCGUACACGGGGAGAACAUGCAAACUCCAUACAGACUGACCCCCUAGGCUGGAUUCAAACCUAGGACCCUGGCACUGUGAAGCAUCAGUGCUAACCACUAUACCACUGUGCUGCCCUCAACCAUGUUCUCCAACCUUUUAAAUGGUAAUUAAAUGAUAGGCCAGCUUUGACUUUUUUACAGUCCAGAGAUCGCUAGCUUCCAUCAUUUUCUCCAUCACAGAUUUGCUAGAAACUCCACCAGAAGAAAACAGUUGCUCAUUGAGGACAUGGAAAAAAUGGUAAAAAAAAAGGAUAUUUUGUCUUCUCUUCAUAAUGGUUUGAAAUGAUAACAUACUGAUUUAAUGUAUCACAUUGUCUCAGGAUAACAAAAAAAAAUUUUGAGCAUUUUACAGCCCUGAAGAAUUACCCUGAUUUGAAUUAACCACUUGAACAGGUAAUCCUGAGAUAACAGCAGCAAGAUGGUUAACCCUUUGCGUUCCUAUGUCUGACCAUGUCCGACAUUACAAUUUUCCCUUUCCUGUCCGAUGUCGGACCCUGUCCGACAUCA